Molecule: ribosomal RNA, 1349 nt
Filed under: uncultured bacterium
Lineage: Bacteria
Description: bacterial SSU rRNA
Rfam family: Bacterial small subunit ribosomal RNA
Source: RNAcentral
GAGUUUGAUCCUGGCUCAGCACUACAAGAAGUUCGAAAGUUUUCAUCACAAGGGUGCCCCCGCGCACUAUCUUGUUGUUGGUGGGGUAAUGGACCACCAAGGCGACGACUGGUAGCCGGCCUGAGAGGGCGACCGGCCACGCUGGGACUGAGACACGGCCCAUACUCCUACAGGAGGCAGCGGUGGGGAAUAUUGCGCAAUGGGCGAAAGCCUGACGCAGCGACGCCGCGUGAGGGACGACGGCCUUCGGGUUGUAAACCUCUUUCAGCAGGGACGAAGCGAAAGUGACGGUACCUGCAGAAGAAGCACCGGCCACCUACGUGCCAGCAGCCGCGGUAAUACGUAGGGUGCAAGCGUUGCCCGGAAUUAUUGGGCGUAAAGAGCUCGUAGGCGGUUUGUCACGUCGGAUGUGAAAACUCGGGGCUCAUCCCCGAGCCUGCAUACGAUACGGGCAGACUUGAGUGUGGCAGGGGAGUCUGGAAUUCCUGGUGUAUCGGUGAAAUGCGCAGAUAUCAGGAGGAACACCGGUGGCGAAGGCGGGACUCUGGGCCAAUACUGACGCUGAGGAGCGAAAGCGUGGGGAGCGAACAGGAUUAGAUACCUUGCUAGUCCUCGCCGUAAACGGUGGGUGCUAGGUGUGGGGAACUUUCCACGUUCUCCGUACCGCAGCUAUCGCAUUAUGCACACCGCCUGGGGAGUACGGCCGCAAGGCUAAAACUCAAAGGAAUUGACGGGGGCCCGCACAAGCGGCGGAGCAUGCGGUUUAAUUCGAUGCAACGCGAAGAACCUUACCAAGGUUUGACAUAUAGGGAAAACUCAUAGAGAUAUGAGGUCCGUAAGGGCCCUAUACAGGUGGUGCAUGGCUGUUGUCAGCUCGUGUCGUGAGAUGUUGGGUUAAGUCCCGCAACGAGCGCAACCCUCGUUCUAUGUUGCCAGCGGAUUAUGCCGGGGACUCAUAGGAGACUGCCGGGGUCAACUCGGAGGAAGGUGGGGACGACGUCAAGUCAUCAUGCCCCUUAUAUCUUGGGCUACACGCAUGCUACAAUGGCCGGUACAAAGGGCUGCGAUACCGUAAGGUGGAGCGAAUCCCAUAAAUCCGGUUUCAGUUCGGAUCGGGGUCUGCAACUCGACCCCAGAAGUCGGAGUCGUUAGUAAUCGCAGAUCAGCAAUGCUGCGGUGAAUUCGUUCCCGGGCCUUGUACACGCCGCCCGUCUCGUCAGAAAAGUCAACAACAGAAGAAGCCGGUGUAACAAGGAAGGGAGGGGGGAGUUGAAGGAGGGGGUCGUGGUUGGUACGAAGUAGUCGCAAGGUAACCGUCCCGGAAGAUGCGGCUGGAUCACCUCCUUUCU